CGAGGAACACGUGGGCAACCUGUCUCUGAGGUGGGGAAAACCGCUGGAAACGGCGGCUAAUACCGAAUGUAGCGCCCGCUCGCAUGAGCGGAGCGACCGAAAGGGGGCGAAAGCCUCCCCCUCUCCGGAGGGGCCCGCGCACCAUCAGCUUGUGGCGGGUAACGGCCCACCAAGGCUCACGGUUAGCUGGUCUGAGAGGAUGGCCAGCCGCACUGGGACUGAGAUACUGCCCAGACUCCUACGGGAGGCUGCAGUCGAGGAUCAUUUGCAAUGGGCGAAAGCCUGACAAUGCGACGCUGCGUGGAGGAUGAAGGCCCUCGGGUUGUAAACUCCUGUCAGUGGGGGAAAAGGAAACUCCACCUAAUACGUGGGGGAUUUGAUGGUACCCCAAGAGGAAGCGACGGCUAACUCUGUGCCAGCCGCAGC
This 426-nucleotide ribosomal RNA is filed under the name uncultured bacterium. Its description in RNAcentral is "bacterial SSU rRNA". It matches the Rfam family "Bacterial small subunit ribosomal RNA", at positions 107 to 518 of the family's 1533-position model. The record is from RNAcentral.